GUGGCGCACGGGUGCGUAACACGUAUGCAAUCUGCCCCUAACAGGGGAAUAGCCCGGCGAAAGUCGGAUUAAUACCCCAUAACAAUGUGAAUCGGCAUCGGUUUAUAUUUAAAGCUCCGGCGGUUAGGGAUGAGCAUGCGCGACAUUAGCUAGAUGGCGGGGUAACGGCCCACCAUGGCUACGAUGUCUAGGGGGUCUGAGAGGAUUUUCCCCCACACUGGUACUGAGACACGGACCAGACUCCUACGGGAGGCAGCAGUAGGGAAUAUUGGGCAAUGGACGCAAGUCUGACCCAGCCAUGCCGCGUGAAGGACGAAGGCCCUAUGGGUUGUAAACUUCUUUUGUACGGGAAGAAACCCCUCUACGUGUAGGGGGCUGACGGUACCGUAAGAAUAAGGAUCGGCUAACUCCGUGCCAGCAGCCGCGGUAAUACGGAGGAUCCAAGCGUUGUCCGGAUUUAUUGGGUUUAAAGGGUGCGUAGGCGGAUUACUAAGUCAGAGGUGAAAGUUUGCAGCUUAACUGUAAAAUUGCCUUUGAAACUGGUAGUCUUGAGUAUAGUUGAGGUGGGCGGAAUGUGUCAUGUAGCGGUGAAAUGCUUAGAUAUGAUACAGAACACCGAUUGCGAAGGCAGCUCACUAAACUGUAACUGACGCUGAGGCACGAAAGCGUGGGGAGCAAACAGGAUUAGAUACCC
This 694-nucleotide ribosomal RNA is filed under the name uncultured Cytophagaceae bacterium. RNAcentral's name for it is "bacterial SSU rRNA". It matches the Rfam family "Bacterial small subunit ribosomal RNA", at positions 95 to 787 of the family's 1533-position model. Lineage: Bacteria; Pseudomonadati; Bacteroidota; Cytophagia; Cytophagales; Cytophagaceae. The record is from RNAcentral.